RNAcentral lists this unclassified non-coding RNA (222 nucleotides) under Glomeraceae sp. RNAcentral describes it as "partial contains 5.8S ribosomal RNA and internal transcribed spacer 2". The stretch from base 1 to 71 matches the Rfam family "5.8S ribosomal RNA", at positions 84 to 154 of the family's 154-position model. The record is from RNAcentral. Lineage: Eukaryota; Fungi; Glomeromycota; Glomeromycetes; Glomerales; Glomeraceae.
GUGAAUCAUCGAAUCUUUGAACGCAAAUUGCACUCUCUGGUAUUCCGGGGAGUAUGCCUGUUUGAGGGUCAGUUUAAAUCAAAAUCGUUGUGGGUGCUGCCUCUCGUGGUGACGCAGCGGAUUUGAGUUGUAUUGCCUUCGGUUAAUUGACCUUAAAUGUUGCGGGAUUUUUUUCGAAGGGAGUUAAAUGAUUUUACGUACGUUUGCGAAAUCGAAUUCUAG